GUAAUGCCUCACGCCCGUGGGGUAGGACAGGUGUAAUGGGGGACACCUGUUCACACUAAAAGCGUCC
Molecule: small RNA, 67 nt
Filed under: Chlorobium phaeobacteroides BS1
Lineage: Bacteria; Pseudomonadati; Chlorobiota; Chlorobiia; Chlorobiales; Chlorobiaceae
Description: Chlorobi-1 RNA
Rfam family: Chlorobi-1 RNA
Source: Rfam by way of RNAcentral